RNAcentral lists this small nuclear RNA (152 nucleotides) under Suricata suricatta (meerkat). RNAcentral describes it as "U2 spliceosomal RNA (ENSSSUG00005010003.1)". It matches the Rfam family "U2 spliceosomal RNA". Rfam says of the family: U2 is a small nuclear RNA (snRNA) component of the spliceosome (involved in pre-mRNA splicing). Lineage: Eukaryota; Metazoa; Chordata; Mammalia; Carnivora; Herpestidae. The record is from RNAcentral.
AUUGCUUCUCAGCCUUUUGGCUAAGAUCAAGUGCAGUAUCUGUUCUUAUCAUUUUAUUUGUUCAGAGCAGUCAAGUAGCUUGACCAAGGCAUAGUUGGACUAUGAACUAGAUUCCAUAUAUUUUAGACUCAAACACAAGAUCUUAACCUACU